Molecule: ribosomal RNA, 253 nt
Filed under: uncultured bacterium
Lineage: Bacteria
Description: partial 16S ribosomal RNA
Rfam family: Bacterial small subunit ribosomal RNA
Source: RNAcentral
UACGUAGGGGGCAAGCGUUGUCCGGAAUCAUUGGGCGUAAAGCGCGCGUAGGCGGCCUGUAAAGUCCGCUGUGAAAACUCGAGGCUCAACUUCGAGCUGUCGGUGGAAACUUUCUGGCUAGAGUCCGGAAGAGGAGAAUGGAAUUCCUGGUGUAGCGGUGAAAUGCGCAGAUAUCAGGAAGAACACCCGUGGCGAAGGCGGUUCUCUGGGACGGUACUGACGCUGAGACGCGAAAGCGUGGGGAGCGAACAGG